This 301-nucleotide ribosomal RNA is filed under the name uncultured bacterium. RNAcentral's name for it is "partial 16S ribosomal RNA". It matches the Rfam family "Bacterial small subunit ribosomal RNA", at positions 509 to 807 of the family's 1533-position model. The record is from RNAcentral.
CAGCAGCCGCGGGAAAACGUAGGAUGCGAGCGUUAAUCGGAAUUACUGGGCGUAAAGCGUGCGCAGGCGGUUCGUUAAGACAGAUGUGAAAUCCCCGGGCUUAACCUGGGAACUGCAUUUGUGACUGGCGAGCUAGAGUAUGGCAGAGGGGGGUAGAAUUCCACGUGUAGCUGUGAAAUGCGUAGAGAUGUGGAGGAAUACCGAUGGCGAAGGCAGCCCCCUGGGCCAAUACUGACGCUCAUGCACGAGAGCGUGGGGAGCAAACAGGAUUAGAUACCCCCGUAGUCCCUGUCUCUUAUAC